UCGUUUUUACCAACCCAACAAGUUAGUCUUUUCUCUGCUGGUCGUUUUUACCAUCCAGCAUAGUCUUUUGACCCUUUGUCUUUGUCUCAUGUCUCAUUAAGCUGUCGCUUUUUUAAUUUCUCCAAGCCGAGGGUACCAAACUGUGAGAACUCUUAGGUUCUUUUAUGCUACUAACCCGUAGGUUCAUUCCCAGCCAACAAUGCAUGCACUACCAAGCCAAUCAUCAAGGAUCGCUCUUCUUAUAACUCUCAGCCAUAGUCUUUGCACCCUUUGUCUUUGUCUCAUGUCUCAUUAAGCUGUCGCUUUUUUUACUUUCUGCAAGCCGAGGGUACCAAACCAGCCAACAAUGCAUGCACUACCAAGCCAAUCAUCAAUGAUCUCUCUUCUUUUAACUCCCAGCCAUAGUCUUUUGACCCUUUGUCUUUGUCUCAUGUCUCAUUAAGCUGUCGCUUUGUUUAAUUUCUCCAAGCCGAAGGUACCAAACAGUGAGAACUCUUAGGUUCUUUUAUGCUACUAACCCGUAGGUUCAUUCCCAGCCAACAAUGCAUGCACUACCAAGCCAAUCAUCAAGGAUCGCUCUUCUUUUAACUCUCAGCCAUAGUCUUUGCACCCUUUGUCUUUGUCUCAUGUCUCAUUAAGCUGUCGCUUUUUUUACUUUCUGCAAGCCGAGGGUACCAAACCAGCCAACAAUGCAUGCACUACCAAGCCAAUCAUCAAUGAUCUCUCUUCUUUUAACUCCCAGCCAUAGUCUUUUGACCCUUUGUCUUUGUCUCAUGUCUCAUUAAGCUGUCGCUUUGUUUAAUUUCUCCAAGCCGAAGGUACCAAACAGUGAGAACUCUUAGGUUCUUUUAUGCUACUAACCCGUAGGUUCAUUUCCAGCCAACAAUGCAUGCACUACCAAACCAAUCAUCAAGUAUCUCUCUUCUUUUCGUUCCCAGCCAUUGUCUUUUGAUACUUUGUCUCUCUCUUAUGUCUCAUUAAGCUGUCGCUUUUUUUAAUUUCUCCAAGCUGAGGGUACCAAACUGUGAGAACUCGUAGGUUCUUUUAUGCUACUAACCCGUAGGUUCAUUCCCAGCCAACAAUGCAUGCACUACCAAGCCAAUCAUCAAGGAUCGCUCUUCUUUUAACUCCCAGCCAUAGUCUUUGACCCUUUGUCUUUGUCUCAUGUCUCAUUAAGCUGUCGCUUUUUUAAUUUCUCCAAGCCGAGGGUACCAAACUGUGAGAACUCUUAGGUUCUUCUAUGCUACUAACCCGUAGGUUCAUUUCCAGCCAACAAUGCAUGCACUACCAAACCAAUCAUCAAGUAUCUCUCUUCUUUUCGUUCCCAGCCAUUGUCUUUUGAUACUUUGUCUCUUUCUUAUGUCUCAUUAAGCUGUCGCUUUUUUUAAUUUCUCCAAGCCGAGGGUACCAAACUGUGAGAACUCUUAGGUUCUUUCCCAACCAACAACUCGCAACCAUGCAUGCACUACCAAGCCAAACAUCAAGGGUCUCUUUUCUUUUCAUCCCCAGCCACUUGUGUCUCGAUAAGCUGUCGCUUUUUGUUUAUUUUUCCAAGCCGAGGGUACCAAGCAGUGAGAACUCUUAGGUUCUUUUGUGUUACUAACCCGUAGGUUCAUUCCCAGCCAACAAUGCAUGCACUACCAAGCCAAUCAUCAAGGGCCACUUAUGUCUCAAUAAGCUGUCGCUUUUUUUUUUUGUAAUUUUCCAAGCCGAGGGUACCAAUAUCUGAGAACUCUUUGGUUCUAUCAUGUCUUUGUCUUAAGACUUAAUAACCCGUAGGUUCAUUCCCAUCCAACAAAUCCAAAACCCCUUUUCCAACUCGCAACAAUUCAUGCACUACCAAAGCCCAUAGUUCACAAUCUUGCUCGGGACAAUGUCCCCAAAAUAGAAUCUGACAGAACACCAUUAGAUUAGUGUCUGCCCAUGAUCUGUUUUGGGUUUUGAGAAAACAAAACAAAAACAAAAACAUGAAAAACUAAAACCCCCCAUAACAUAAGAAUCCGCAAAACAAGUAACCAGA
RNAcentral lists this long non-coding RNA (2020 nucleotides) under Capsella rubella. RNAcentral describes it as "long non-coding RNA (CRUB_LNC004102)". The record is from RNAcentral. Lineage: Eukaryota; Viridiplantae; Streptophyta; Magnoliopsida; Brassicales; Brassicaceae.